Molecule: long non-coding RNA, 1405 nt
Organism: Gallus gallus (chicken)
Lineage: Eukaryota; Metazoa; Chordata; Aves; Galliformes; Phasianidae
Source: Ensembl
AUGGGACUAGUGGUGGAGGAAGCUGCUGGUGAGAAAGGCAAUUAUGCAGAGUGCACUGUGAAAUGGAGUCUCCCAAAUCAGCAAAGCAUCUGGAAAAUUAAACCGUGAUGACACUUCACGAAAUGCCCCUGUUUUGGCUGUUCUUUUCACAGUGAUAGCACCUGGGAGACCUUCUGCAGACCCCAAGGCUCUGUGGUGCUGCGUGCUGCACCAGUCCUACCAGAACUGAGGAGCUUAUUGUAUGAUGAAGGGCCCCAGACAUUUAUCUUCUGUUUCUGUUGAUGGACUGAAUAAGCUGCUGACCAGUCUUAUCAAUUGAAGUAAAUGGCAAGACCCCCUUUAGCUUCCGUGAUUCAAAUGGAGCCUAGUAAGUGCUACAGAGUCCAGAUGUUCUGCAGCUGUUAAUCUCCCAGAAUUCAUCUCCCAUGGCAGAAGCCUAAUCCACAGAAAAGAGUAAUGCCAUUCCUACAUAACUGUUGGGUGGAACACUUGCCUGGGCAUGUGAAGAUUUGAGUCUGAAUUACAGUGGAACACAUAACUAAUAGAGUAGGCAACACAUUUUUCAAAUAAACUGAAAUACUUGGAAACUUUCUAAGUUUUAUUUUAGUAAGUGAACUGGCAACCACUAGGAAGUGAUAUAUAUCAAUAUCUACUAUACUGUUUGAAGCUACUUCUAGUCAUGGAAUCAUAGAAUCAUAGAAUGUUUUGGGUUAGAAGGGGCCUUUAAGAUCAUCUAGGUCCAGCCUCCCUGUUAUAGGCGGGGACACCUCCAUCUUGACCAGGUUGCUCACAGCUCCAUCCAGCCUGGCCUUGAAUGCUUCCAGGGAGGGGGCAUCCACAGCCUCACUGGGCAACCUAUACUGGAACUUGUUUUGUGAGAUUGUGAUGAUAAUAAUUCAACAUAUUAUUACAUAUGAACUUGUGAUAUAGAUGACUUUGAUUUGUUAUAAAUCACUAAGUUUUAUGUGAUUGACAUUGGCUCUUUGAGAAAUUAGAUUAUGAACUUGACAGGUAAAACCAUCAACUUUGCAUAACCAUAAGGAAAAGCCACCAUAACACUGUUAGUUAAGAAGGUUAUAGAAAGAAGAGGGAAAGAGAACCUUACUUUGUCUUCUCUCUGUGCAGGAAAAGAGCACUGAUAGCUGCUAAUUGGUUACUCUAAUUCCAAGUGACACCAGAGCCUAGUUUCAAAAGUUUUAUUCUCUAGUUUUAAAGUAUAGCACAUAUUAUAUAUGAUUGUACUGUGAUAUAGGUAUCACUCCUCUUUAUUAUUUUCAGUGAUUGUGAACUUUCCUAAAUAGCCAAAUACAGAAGCUCAUUGUGUUUUGCUUCUUGUUUUUCAUCCAUGCUAUAGCCAAUGACUGUUUCUUUCCACAUACAUGGCAGUCACAGAUGUUCUUUUUCC